Molecule: long non-coding RNA, 1288 nt
Filed under: Nicotiana tabacum (common tobacco)
Lineage: Eukaryota; Viridiplantae; Streptophyta; Magnoliopsida; Solanales; Solanaceae
Description: long non-coding RNA (NTAB_LNC011175)
Source: RNAcentral
AGUAGUUUCUUAAGGAGAGGCUUUGACCAAAGUGGGAGAGUGUCACGACCAAAUUUUCCCUCCGUUUGGUAUCGUGAUAGCACCUAGUCUUAGGGACUAGGUAAGCCUAACAUUAAUUGAAACAACACUAUUUAAAUAACAUCUAACUAGUUAAAUAGAAAUCUCUUACAAUUCCCAAAACCGGUAGUACAAGUCAUAAGCUCUACAGAGUGUUUGCUAGAAAAUUUCUAAAAUACAACUGUCCAGAAAUAAGAAUAAACAGUGCAAAAUGAAAACUUGAAGGUGACUCCGAAGCCUGCGAAUGCAGUGGCAGGUUUACCUUGAGUCUCCGCAGCAAAACUCCACACAACUAGCUGACGAACAAAUACUUGGAUCUGUACAAAAGAUGUGCAGAAGAGUAGCAUGAGCACACCACAGCGGUGCCCAGUAAGUAUCAAGGCUAACCUCGGUGGGGUAGUGAUGAGGAACAGUCAAGAUACCCACUGGUCUAAUAAACUAAACGGGUACAGUAUAUGAACAUCAGGAGUAUGAUGUCUACAUAAUCUUCAAGACAAAUAUCCGAAGGAUGAUCUUCGAAGAGGUUUAGAGUGGUAGCGAUCUAUUGGUUCAAGUGCUACAGAGAUGGAUUUGAUUUACGACAACAACUGGGCAUGUAUGAGGAAGGACAUGUGUGAGGUGUCUUGCGGUGGUUAAAUUUCUAGGAGGCCAAGUGUGAAAAGCAGAAGUCGAGUAGUUGCUUAAGGAGAGGGUUUGACCAAAGUGGGAGAGUGUCACGACUCAAUUUUUCCUCCGUUUGGUAUCGUGAUGGCACCUAGUCUUAGGGACUAGGUAAACCUAACAUUAAUUGAAACAACACUAUUUAAAUAACAUCUAACAAGUUAAAUAGAAAUCUCUUACAAUUCUCAAAAACAGUAGUACAAGUCAUAAGCUCUUACAGAGUGUUUGCUAGAAAACUUCUAAAUACAACUGUCCAGAAAUAAGAAUAAACAGUGCAAAACGAAAACUUGAAGAUGAUUCCGAAGCCUGCGAACGCAGCGGAAGGUUUACCUUGAGUCUCCACAACAAUAGUCCACAUUGCUAGAUAACGAACAAAUACUUGGAUCUGCACAAACAAUGUGCAGAAGAGUAGCAUAAGUACACCACAGCGGUGCCCAGUAAGUAUCAAGGCUAACCUCGGUGGGGUAGUGACGAGGAACAAUCAAAACACCCACUAGUCUAAUAAACUAAAUGGGUACAGUAUAUGAACAACAUGAGUAUGAUGUCUACAUAAGGACUAUGCAAUAUGGCU